RNAcentral lists this ribosomal RNA (375 nucleotides) under uncultured bacterium. RNAcentral describes it as "bacterial SSU rRNA". It matches the Rfam family "Bacterial small subunit ribosomal RNA", at positions 524 to 898 of the family's 1533-position model. The record is from RNAcentral.
GACGAACCGAGCGAACGUUGUUCGGAAUCACUGGGCUUAAAGGGCGCGUAGGCGGCUUACCAAGUCAGGGGUGAAAUUUUGCGGCUUAACCGUAACAGUGCCUUUGAUACUGGUAGGCUCGAGGGAGGUAGGGGUUCGCGGAACUUCUGGUGGAGCGGUGAAAUGCGUUGAUAUCAGAAGGAACGCCGGUGGCGAAAGCGGCGAACUGGAUCUCUUCUGACGCUGAGGCGCGAAAGCUAGGGGAGCAAACGGGAUUAGAUACCCCGGUAGUCCUAGCCCUAAACGAUGGGUACUAGAUUGUAAGCGUGACAUGCGCCUACAGUCGAAGCAAAAGUGUUAAGUACCCCGCCUGGGGAGUAUGGUCGCAAGGCUGAA